RNAcentral lists this ribosomal RNA (445 nucleotides) under uncultured bacterium. RNAcentral describes it as "bacterial SSU rRNA". It matches the Rfam family "Bacterial small subunit ribosomal RNA", at positions 331 to 792 of the family's 1533-position model. The record is from RNAcentral.
CCAGACUCCUACGGGAGGCAGCAGUCGGGAAUAUUGCACAAUGGAGGAAACUCUGAUGCAGUGACACCGCGUAUAGGAAGAAGGUUUUCGGAUUGUAAACUAUUUUAGACAGGGAAGAAAAAAGACAGUACCUGUAGAAUAAGCUCCGGCUAACUACGUGCCAGCAGCCGCGGUAAUACGUAGGGGGCGAGCGUUAUCCGAAUUCACUGGGUGUAAAGGGAGCGUAGACGGCCAUGCAAGCCAGGGGUGAAAGCCCGGGGCCCAACCCCGGGACUGCCCUUGGAACUGCAUGGCUGGAGUGCGGGAGGGGCAGGCGGAAUUCCUGGUGUAGCGGUGAAAUGCGUAGAUAUCAGGAGGAACACCGGCGGCGAAGGCGGCCUGCUGGACCGCGACUGACGUUGAGGCUCGAAAGCGUGGGGAGCGAACAGGAUUAGAUACCCGUGUA